This 1194-nucleotide long non-coding RNA is filed under the name Sus scrofa (pig). Its description in RNAcentral is "lncRNA (ENSSSCG00015031119.1)". The record is from RNAcentral. Lineage: Eukaryota; Metazoa; Chordata; Mammalia; Artiodactyla; Suidae.
AUGACUUUUUCCACAACUACUAAACAUCUUUAAAUAGCGGCAAAUUGUAUAUAACAUAAAAUUUACCAUUUGAACCACUCAGUGUACAGUUCAGUGGCAUUCACAUUGCAACAUCAGCACCUUCCAUCUCCAGAACUUCUUCAUCAUCCCAUAGACACUAACUCCUCUUCUCCCCUUCCCCACAAACCCUGGCACCCACCAUUCUGCUUUCUGUCUCCAUAGAAUCUAACUGCUCUAGGAACCUCCUAUGAGUGGAAUCAUACCAUAUUUAUUUUUUUUACCCCAUCAUUUUUAAAGCUCUCUAAGGAUAAGGACCAAGUCUCUAAUUUAUUUUCAUUGUAAAUGUAAUGUUUACUUGCUCAUUUAUGUAAAUGCUAUAGUGCUAGGUAGAGGGUUGGGCGACACUGGAGAAACGUAUGUGGUCUCCGUGGCUGACAGGGUAGUGGUGGGGACCGGGGCUGGGAGAACAAGGGAAACACAGAGAAUGGACAGAGUACGAGAAGGGUGCUGAGUGUGGUGACAGAACCACGGGGCGCCUUCUGGAAAACCUCAGUGCUGUAGGAUAAAUGGGGGAGUGGUCCUGGAGGAAGAUGAUGGAAGGAAUAUUCAGCAAGGAAGGAAUAUUCAUCUGUGCCAUGAAUGCCUUUGCACAUGAAGAGGAAAAGCGACCACUGAUCAAUUCAUAGUGAUACCAUUGAUAGCAGAGGUUCUGGGCUAGGGGAAUACCCACAGAGGUACUGAGGAAGUAGGUAACCUGGGAAGGGUGACAAUACCCCUGGGGGCUAUCGCUUGAACCCGGUCACAUGGAAAGAACCUCAACUCACCCUCUUAACCUUUUCUGUCUGAGUGCCUUACAGUGUCACUGCUGGCUGUGAAGAGUGACCAUUAAGAAUAAUCCCUUCCUUUAGAAAAGGAGAGCAGGUUCAAGAUUAUUCUUGUGAAACUCAGUGUCACUCACGUUGUCGUAGGCUUCCUUGAGUGGGCUAGAAAGGGGUGGAGUGACAGCUGGCACACUGGGAAUCAACCACAUGCGACAUCACUGGGAAUUUCGUGGCAGCAAAAAGUUCAGCUUGGUGCAUUGGUGACUCAAAGCUGCGGUCAAGUGUAAGUUACUAAGGAGACUUGCUUUGAGGGUUUUUUUUUUGGAAGCUUGCAGGGACUUCUUUUGAGAAAAACGCUUUCUAGUGGAAUUAG